Molecule: non-coding RNA, 2564 nt
Organism: Schizosaccharomyces pombe (fission yeast)
Lineage: Eukaryota; Fungi; Ascomycota; Schizosaccharomycetes; Schizosaccharomycetales; Schizosaccharomycetaceae
Source: the annotation of a GenBank genome assembly
GCUAAUUUUGAUAAAAUGAAGAAUUUCAUGAAAUUUAAAAGUGGAAAACAUUAACAGUAAAAUAUGUAUAGGUCCAACAAAACUAUGAUAACAAUGAUAUAUGAAACUCUCCGAACUCAUUUGAAAAAUAAGACAAAAGACAACGUCUAUACUUUAGUUUUUUUUAAUCAGAAUCAUUAUCAUCCAAUUUCUCAUACAAGCCGCUAUUUACAGCUUGUUGGAUAGGAUUAGUAACUUGAAUAGUACUAUUUUUUUCCAAGCUACCAACGUCAGCCAAAUAUACUCGAGACAUAUAUAUGUAUUUUUUUAAAAAAAAAUAAAUAAACAAACAAACUUACCGUUGAAACAAAUAGAAUAAUCUUUCUGCUUCUCGCUCUUUCUCUUCUUGGCUUAACUCAAGUCUUUGAGAUUUAUUUCUAUUUGUGCACAUACUCCCAGUAAUAGGAUCGAUUGCAAGGUUAUUUUCUUCAGUAUUUUCUUGGCCCCUUGAAUUUUUCUGGAAUACUGGUGAAGCGGCUUUUGAAAGUGGGCUAGGAAAUGGCAUAGUUUCGGAAUGUUGUGAGAUACCCAUCGCAUAUCCAGCUCCAAAUAUUCGUGCAAUUUGCUGUGAAUCCCCGUCGCAUAGUUCAUUUAAAAGGGACGCGUAGUAAGUGCCAAUGGGCUCAACAAUUGGUAUAGUUAAAAGUCUCAGUAAAAGGCAACGGAAGCUUUUACCCUUUUGAAGACUCUGUUUGCGAUCAUCGUUAGUUGGAAAUAAUAGCAUAGAAAGGUUCUGUUUAAUGUUAAAAAAUGAAAGAAGAGAAAGCAGAAUUGCUAAAAUCGGUGGCAGAGUAUUUUGAUACUUUGCUGCUAUGUCAAAGCACAAAUUUAGGCCCUUUUCUAGGUAUUCUACUUCGCGGGAAAUAAGUAUGGAUUGUAAAGUUUGACAAGCAAUUUCAGAAACAUAAAUGGCUUGGUCAAGGGAGAGCAGCUGCAGAUUGAAAGAUAGUAGAGCAUUGGUAGCAUGCCAUCGAAGCGGCGAAUUAGGAUUGUUAUUUAAAGAACUGGCCCAAAUUUCAAUUACAAGUAGAAGAAUUCUGAAGGAAGAAUUAGCAAAACCAGAGAUAAAGGAACUCAUUAAUUUUUCAAAUAAACGUACUUUUGUUCGUCUUCCUCCUUUAAGUAUGAACGUUUGCUAAUUGGAAAAAGCAGCCUCAAAAUUUCAGUUAAAACCAUUUCGUUAUCUUGGCUAUUAUUAGAGGGCGAGCUAUUUAGUGUCCACAUUUUCUUCAACAUCUUUCAAUACUGGGUUAUUUCGAAUAAAAAAAAAGCGUCGAUAUAAUACUUACCUGUAUUAACUGAGUUCUAACCUGUCGCAUAUCUAAGCAAAUAUCAUCGGUUUGUGUAGAUAGGAGAAUGAAUAAAAAACGCAUGAAAACAACUCUUCUCUCCAAAUCGUCAUUCUGAUCGUGUGUUAAAAAAGUAAUGUUGAGUAAGAAGGAAGAAAAUAUAAAAAAAAUCAAAUUCAACCUCUUUGUCUGCCUUAUAGACAAAUACAAAGGUUGAAAUCAGUGAUAAAACUUUUGGGGCUCUUACUUCGAAAACAGAGGUAGUGAGUUGUUUUAAGGACUCAUUGUGUACAAUUUGUACUGAAAUACUGGGUACCUGUCUCAAGCAAUUUGCUAACAAUUUCAUCAAUUCAAGUGAAACAUCCUUUUCCCAUAAUAAACUUAUGACUCUAAGUAGAUGGCUCCAAUUCUAAUCUGUUAGCAUCUGUUUCAAUAUAAGACUUAUGCUGGGCAUUGAUCAUCAAAGAACGAAGAUAUUGAAACGGAAAGAGAUUUUGCAAUUAAACCACUAUACCUAUAUCCUAAAGUAUCAGAUUAUUGCCUCAUAAUGUCCCUGUAUCAACCUUCACUAGGCCUUUUUCAUUUAGAAUCUGUACUAAUAUAGCAUCGAUACAGUAAGAAACCUUGAUCCCACAAAUAGCCACUUACCAAAGAUUUUGCAACUACUUUUGAUGUUUCCAAUUCUCUACAAGCUUCUUUUAAUUUAAUAAUAGUAGAGAUGGGUAUGUUAAAACUUUGGUUUGCUUCGUCAUGAAAUUGUGUAGCACUUUGUGAAUAGCUUUCUAUUCCUAACCCCAAACUUUGGAUAUAAGCUUCCAAUUCCAUUCCUUUUAAGCACAUGAAAUAAUUUGUUAAUUUUAAUGAGUUUUCUUUUAUUUAAGUCUCCAUUAACAUCAAUUUAUUUGCGCUUAAGAUUAGUGUACUUAAGGUCUUACAUGACUACCUACUUCAGCGUCAAAAGUUGUAACAACGCUGACAUUCGUAAAAAUGGUAUCAGUCCUUUACACUACUGUCACCAUUACUGCACUACACUAUGCAAUUUGCUCUGCGUUUACAAGAUGCUCAUAUUUCUAAAUAUUAGUCAAGAACCUUUUAUCAACAAUUACGCAUGAAAUUUUUUAUGCUUUAUAUAACUACCCUUUAAUGAAAAAUUUUAGAAUUAUCAUAAAAUGAAGUUCCACCGAGCUGGUUCCUCAGUUCGAUUAUUUAAUGAUAAUUACAAUUAUAAGAAUACCA